GCAGGCCCGGGCCGCGGGCUUGGUUUCCACCCUGGAGGUUGCUGACACCGUGUGCCCUCGGCUCUGACUUCCAGCCGGUGGCACAGACGCCUCCAGGGGGCAGCACUCAAGCGCAUCUUAGGAAUGACAGAGUUGCAUCCCUCUCUGUUGCCAGGCUGGAGUUCAGUGGCAUGUUCGUAGCUCACUGAAGCCUCAAAUUCCUGGGUUCAAGUGAUCCUCCCCCCUCAGCCCCAUGAGGACCUGGGACUACAGUGGGCCAGAGGAGGAGGACUGCCUCUUGUGACUGUGGAAGGACUUCUACCAGGCUAACACCCCCGGCCUCUCACCCUCCUAUUUCUCACCCUGCAAAGCAGAGUGUUAUUUGAUUCAUGUUCUUAGUCUGUGGAUCUCAGUUGAGGAGAACUCGUUAGAGAUUUACCCUCUUUCCGUCUUUUUGAGACCUUACUGGUGCAAGACAGCAAAUCCUAGCUGGUGUCUACGGGACACAUGCACUCUUAGGUUACAUAACUGCAGGGACCACUGUCAUUGUAUCCUGGAGCUGG
This 542-nucleotide small RNA is filed under the name Pongo abelii (Sumatran orangutan). RNAcentral describes it as "processed transcript". The record is from RNAcentral. Lineage: Eukaryota; Metazoa; Chordata; Mammalia; Primates; Hominidae.